RNAcentral lists this ribosomal RNA (406 nucleotides) under uncultured bacterium. RNAcentral describes it as "bacterial SSU rRNA". It matches the Rfam family "Bacterial small subunit ribosomal RNA", at positions 28 to 426 of the family's 1533-position model. The record is from RNAcentral.
GAUGAACGCUGGCGGCGCGCCUAAUACAUGCAAGUCGAGCGACGAAACCGAAGUGGGUAACCACUUCGGCUGAAAGCGGCGAACGGGUGAGUAACACGUGGGUAACGUGCCCCGAACUCUGGAAUAACAACGGGAAACCGUUGCUAAUGCCGGGAUGACCCCUGCAGUUCGCAUGUUCAGCAGGGCAAAGAAUUUCGGUUCGGGAUCGGCCCGCGGCCUAUCAGCUUGUUGGUGGGGUAAUGGCCUACCAAGGCAGUGACGGGUAGCUGGCGUGAGAGCGUGGCCAGCCACACUGGGACUGAGACACGGCCCAGACUCCUACGGGAGGCAGCAGUAGGGAAUCUUGCGCAAUGGGCGAAAGCCUGACGCAGCGACGCCGCGUGAGGGAUGACGGCUUUCGGGUUGC